GAUGGCCGGACCGGCGCACGGGUGAGUAACGCGUAUGCAACCUGCCCGAUACCGGGGUAUAGCCCAUGGAAACGUGGAUUAACACCCCAUAGUACUUUUAUCCUGCCUGGGAUGGGAGUUAAAUGUUCAAGGUAUCGGAUGGGCAUGCGUCCUAUUAGUUAGUUGGCGGGGUAACAGCCCACCAAGACGAUGAUAGGUAGGGGUUCUGAGAGGAAGGUCCCCCACAUUGGAACUGAGACACGGUCCAA
RNAcentral lists this ribosomal RNA (248 nucleotides) under uncultured bacterium. RNAcentral describes it as "partial 16S ribosomal RNA". It matches the Rfam family "Bacterial small subunit ribosomal RNA", at positions 85 to 334 of the family's 1533-position model. The record is from RNAcentral.